This 450-nucleotide ribosomal RNA is filed under the name uncultured bacterium. RNAcentral describes it as "partial 16S ribosomal RNA". It matches the Rfam family "Bacterial small subunit ribosomal RNA", at positions 354 to 796 of the family's 1533-position model. The record is from RNAcentral.
GUGGGGAAUAUUGGACAAUGGGCGAAAGCCUGAUCCAGCCAUGCCGCGUGUGUGAAGAAGGUCUUCGGAUUGUAAAGCACUUUAAGUUGGGAGGAAGGGCAGUAAGUUAAUACCUUGCUGUUUUGACGUUACCGACAGAAUAAGCACCGGCUAACUUCGUGCCAGCAGCCGCGGUAAUACGAAGGGUGCAAGCGUUAAUCGGAAUUACUGGGCGUAAAGCGCGCGUAGGUGGUUUUGUAAGUUGGAGGUGAAAUCCCCGGGCUCAACCUGGGAACUGCCUCCAAAAAUGCAUGACUAGAGUACGGUAGAGGGUAGUGGAAUUUCCUGUGUAGCGAUGAAAUGCGUAGAUAUAGGAAGGAACACCAGUGGCGAAGGCGACUACCUGGACUGAUACUGACACUGAGGUGCGAAAGCGUGGGGAGCAAACAGGAUUAGAAACCCGGGUAGUCC